UUAUAUUUAUAUAACUUCAGUGAAAAUUGAAAAACAGUUAGUGAAAUAUGAAUUGUACAACUCAACAAGUAUUGAUUAGUAAAUGCAAAAUUAUGUCCGUAACGCGUUCAUCUCUAUGUAUACAACUAAACUGACAUUUUCAGUUGGAAUGAUUUCGGAGAAGUAAAGGGUUUUUGUUUCUUUGAUUAAUAACUAUCUAGGUUUUACAAAGUAUUCAAAAAGUCUUGUUUUGGCCUCUAUUAUUAUAACAAUUUUAAGCAAUAUAUCCUUAACCCCUAAAUCGACCCAACCUUUCUUUUGUGGAAUGAAACCUCAGUGGCGGAUCCAUGCAUAAUUUUUCAUAAGGAGGGGCCCGUCGACUGACCUAAAAGGGGGCGCUCCAUUCAUGAUUCAGUGAUUCCCUAUACAAUCAACCAUUUUGUUCCCACAAAAAUGGGGAGGGGGCCUCUGGGUCUUAUGAAUCUUGUGCUUUAAAUUAUAGAUAUUAUUACUAGUAUACUGAUAUUCCGAAAAUCAUUAAAAAUACCCAUUUGUAUUCUUCACCAACGCUAGCAGAGGGGCAUUAUGUUUUCUGCUUUGUGCGUCCAUUCGUCUGUUCGUCGUCCGUCUGUCCCGCUUUAGGUUAAAGUUUUUGGUCAAGGUAGUUUUUAUAAAGUUGAAGUCCAAUCAACUCGAAACUAAGUACACAUUUUCCCUAUACUAUGAUAUUUCUAAUUUUAAUGCCAAAUUAGAGUUUUGGCCCCAAUUUCACUAUCUACUGAAAAUAGAUAAUGAUAGUGCGAGUUGGGCAUCCGUGUAUUGUGUUUACAUUCUUGUUUGCACUUUACUCCUGAACGGUUUGAGCUAUAACCAACAAAAUAAAACCCAACCCUCCCUCCCUUGUGCAAAUAUUUGUAGUAUAAUUUUAUAGAUAUCAAUACACUUUUACACAAGUUAUUGUCCGGAAACCAGAAAAACGUUGUUUUGCUUAUUAUGGCCAGUUUUUGGUCCCUAAUUCUUUUAAACCAUGAUAUGGGACCAUAACAUUCAAAUUCUAAUUUAACGCUAUCAUUGAUUACUCAUCAUUUGCACAGGUCUGAUCUGCAUUUCUUUUGCGCUGAUUUUUUUUUAUUUCUUUUUUUGCCGAAUUUGUGUUUCAUUUGCG
Molecule: long non-coding RNA, 1144 nt
Filed under: Mytilus galloprovincialis (Mediterranean mussel)
Lineage: Eukaryota; Metazoa; Mollusca; Bivalvia; Mytilida; Mytilidae
Source: RNAcentral